UAGGGGGAGGGAGGUGGCAUGGCUGGUAGUAUGGUAAUGACUGCCCAUAACUGCCAGACAUGCCGCUUUCCUCACCCUACA
Eptesicus fuscus (big brown bat) is the source of this 81-nucleotide non-coding RNA. Lineage: Eukaryota; Metazoa; Chordata; Mammalia; Chiroptera; Vespertilionidae. The record is from Rfam.